Molecule: ribosomal RNA, 508 nt
Filed under: uncultured bacterium
Lineage: Bacteria
Description: partial 16S ribosomal RNA
Rfam family: Bacterial small subunit ribosomal RNA
Source: RNAcentral
GACGAACGCUGGCGGCGUGCCUAACACAUGCAAGUGGAGCGACGAACCAGGGCUUGCCCUGGGGCAAAGCCGCGAACGGGUGAGUAACACGUGGGUAACCUGCCCCGAUGACCGGGACAACCCGAGGAAACUCGGGCUAAUACCGGAUGUGCUCCACACACAACAGUGUGUGGAGUAAAGGAAGCUUCGGCCUCCGCUUCGGGAGGGGCCCGCGGCCCAUUAGCUAGUUAGGGAGGUAACGGCGCACCAAGGCAACGAUGGGUAGCUGGUCUGAGGGGGCGAUCAGCCACACUGGGACUGAGACACGGCCCAGACGCCGACGGGAGGCAGCAGUGGGGAAUCUUGCGGAAUGCGCGAAGGCGUGACGCGGCAGCGCCGCGUGGGGGAAGAAGGCCUUCGGGUUGUAAACCCCUUUCAGGAGGGACGAAGGUUCGGCGGCGAACAGCCGUCCGGACUGACGGUACCUCCAGAAGAAGCCCCGGCUAACUACGUGCCAGCCGCCGCAUAA